This 69-nucleotide transfer RNA is filed under the name Oscillospiraceae bacterium. Its description in RNAcentral is "tRNA-Pro". It matches the Rfam family "tRNA". From Rfam's summary of the family: Transfer RNA (tRNA) molecules are approximately 80 nucleotides in length. Their secondary structure includes four short double-helical elements and three loops (D, anti-codon, and T loops). Lineage: Bacteria; Bacillati; Bacillota; Clostridia; Eubacteriales; Oscillospiraceae. The record is from RNAcentral. RNAcentral also lists the same sequence under 1 other name.
GAGGAUGUAGUGUAAUGGUAACACGCCUGCCCUGGGAGCAGGAAUAGCGGUUCGAGUCCGACAUCUUCU